CAUAUAAACUAUGCACAUCCUCUGCUAUAUUUUUAAAUCGCCUCUAAAUUACUUAUAAUACCUAAUACAAUGUAAAUGCUAUGUAAAUAGUUGCUACACUGUAUUAUUUAGGGAAUCAUGAUAAGAAAGACAGUCUGUACAUGUUCACUACAGGCACAAGUAGACCCAGCAA
Molecule: long non-coding RNA, 172 nt
Organism: Sapajus apella (tufted capuchin)
Lineage: Eukaryota; Metazoa; Chordata; Mammalia; Primates; Cebidae
Exons: 3
Source: RefSeq, a predicted model, not a curated record